RNAcentral lists this ribosomal RNA (303 nucleotides) under Atopobiaceae bacterium. RNAcentral describes it as "partial 23S ribosomal RNA". It matches the Rfam family "Bacterial large subunit ribosomal RNA", at positions 2613 to 2925 of the family's 2925-position model. Lineage: Bacteria; Bacillati; Actinomycetota; Coriobacteriia; Coriobacteriales; Atopobiaceae. The record is from RNAcentral.
AGAACGUCGUGAGACAGUUCGGUCCCUAUCCUCCGUGGGCGCAGGAGAACUGAGGGAGGCUGCCCCUAGUACGAGAGGACCGGGGUGGACGGACCUCCGGUGUACGGGUUGUCGACCAACGGCAUCGCCCGGUAGCUGUGUCCGGUCGGGAUAACCGCUGAAAGCAUCUAAGCGGGAAGCCCAUCCCAAGAUGAGUUCUCCCUUCGGUAAGGCCCCUGGUAGACCACCAGGUUGAUAGGCGGCAGGUGCAAGGCGUGCGAGCGCCUCAGCCGAGCCGUACUAAUCGGCCGAGCUCUUACUCUU